Haliotis rubra (blacklip abalone) is the source of this 636-nucleotide long non-coding RNA. RefSeq lists it as uncharacterized. NCBI's taxonomy places the organism in Eukaryota, Metazoa, Mollusca, Gastropoda, Lepetellida, Haliotidae. The record is from RefSeq and is a predicted model, not a curated record. The transcript has 3 exons.
GAUGGAUUGUAUAUCAUUCCUUUAUGUGGAUAUUGAUGGAUACAUUCCCCGAACAAGAAUACGCCACACAGAUCCUGAUGUAUUGAAAUUGGAACACGCAGUCCAUCAAUAAUGGAACCCAAUAUCCCAACGUCAAAUUCAACGUCUGAUACAGUCAAUGAGGAGCUAUAUAUCCGUGUUAAAGGACGACUAAAAACGUGAACACACGGCAACAGAUGAUGCUGUAACGCACCCUUAUCUGUGGCAUUACGGACGAUCGAAUCAAGUGUACAUCAUUAUAUACUUGUAUUGGAAACGGAUCUGACACGGACAAAAUGAACAUUUCUGUGUUGUUCCCAAGCGUCCACAUCAGGAAUGGUGUUUUCCUGGUAACGCGUUAACAGUUGGUAAUGUACGUUCGAAUCUCCGGUUCUCAAGUAACCUAACGUAUGUCAUCAACAUCAUAACAACCAGCAUCAUCAUCGGUGGUUAUUAAUGUCCAUUGAUAUGUAUGACACAUUCACAGGUAUGGUCCGAAUACAGAUUGCUGAAUAAAUCGGUGCCAGACAAAUGUGUGUGACUGAGCUAAAUUCUAAGUAGUUUAUCCCCUUUUAUUGCUGAAUCUAAUGACAAAAAUAAUGUUUGUGGGUGGUUAAA